UCAAAAUUUGGCAGCAUUCACGUAUCAUGGGAUGACGAGCAGCUGAUAGGCGAAAUGGCGGGCUGCCACAAAAACCACGUGAAAAAUAUCUGACGAAAACAGUUCGUUUGUGCCUAAUGGAAAAAUGCCGCGAUUGAAAUUUUUAUAAAUAUUUGUCUUAAAAUUAAAUGAAUUGAAACGUAGUAAUUUAAAUUAAAGUGUGUUUUGAGAAUUUUCAAAAGCCCUUGUAUCCCUCUCGGCUUCAACUUCUAAUUCGUCGUGUAUACAUAUGUGAAUACAUUUUGCAUAUAUGUGAUUAUAUUGAAAACUGUGUUUGGGUUUUAAUCUGUAAAUAUAUUACGGUUGAAAAGCGUAGCGCCCUCACGAGGAAAAGAGUUUCGCACAAGGUGGAUUUAUUAUAGGUGACAGCAUUCACCCAGCUGAAUUUUUCGCCGUAGAUAUGGUUUACGUCAAAAUGAUAUGCUUUGUUUGUAUUGAAUUUUAGGACAAUUUAUUAUGGCUGUAUCAUUGCUAGACCGUGGUGAAUCAUACAAAGCACUGGUUCGACUCGCUGCUUAUCGAAAAGACGUACAAAGGUCUACAAGAAUUGACAAUAAUUUUAUCUGGAUGUGGUUUAUAUACUGAUGCAUUGAAGUUGCUUUCUGGCUUCGGAUUAUCACCUCUUCCCAUAUAGGUACACCGCAUUACGCAUUACCAAGGAAAGCGGCAAUGAAGCAUGAGCGUGGUCACAAGAAAAUGAAAUGGCUGAUUUGCCUCAUCGCAAUAAAGCAACCAAUAUGGCCCGGUCACUGUUACAAAAACUCAUUUAUGAUUAUGAGUUAGAAAAUUAUACCAGCGUACGUAAAUAUAUAGCAAACAAUCUGCUAAGUCUCAACGCUUUUAUACCGCAAUGGCUAUAUAAUGACUACAAGCAACAAAGAGAAAUGUAAUUUGAUUCCACUGAGUGUGCGGACAAACAAUUUACGCACAUGCCGAAAAAUGCUUGUUGUUAGCUUAUGCAGCUCAUGCAAUGAACCUCUGAAAUAUGAAGCAUGCAUUAAUUAAAUUAAAAACAACUGAGUAUACUACGUUAGACAUGUUCAACUUAUAAUCAUACUACAAUUUGUUCGUCAAACAUCAUCCCUUAAUUGAAGCUGCCGAAUUACCACAUGCACUGUUGGAAGCUAGAAGCGAAUACUCAGUUUCAGAUAUCGAGUAUAAGCAGGAGCUCACAAAUUUAGACGACGAUACCAGAGAGCGCACAGCAAAUAAAAUAUCCAAAUAGAUGAAAUAAAAUUAAUAUAAAUUUAAUUAAAUUAAAUACUUAAUUUUUAGUAAAUUUUUCAAUGUUCGAGAACUUAUGCUCCAAAUACAGGUUAUAGAACCAAUAAAGUUGAAUUAUAUAAAAUGAAUUCACAAGCAUGCUACAAAUUUGUUAUCCAGAGUUUUUAAGUGUUCAAUUUUAGAUGUCAAUCAUAGCGAUCGAUUUGCCACAAAAAACAUAAGCAAACAUUUUUAUGCAAUAUGGUAUGCGCAUCUCAACAGUAUUUAGUAUGAAGCCAUCAUAGUCAUUAGCAGCCAAGG
RNA transcript from Anastrepha ludens (Mexican fruit fly), 1563 nucleotides. It is a transcript of the gene named nuclear pore complex protein Nup160 homolog, with no coding region annotated. The record is from RefSeq and is a predicted model, not a curated record. Lineage: Eukaryota; Metazoa; Arthropoda; Insecta; Diptera; Tephritidae. The transcript has 6 exons.